RNAcentral lists this ribosomal RNA (552 nucleotides) under Scotobleps gabonicus. RNAcentral describes it as "partial 16S ribosomal RNA". It matches the Rfam family "Bacterial large subunit ribosomal RNA", at positions 1816 to 2597 of the family's 2925-position model. Lineage: Eukaryota; Metazoa; Chordata; Amphibia; Anura; Arthroleptidae. The record is from RNAcentral.
CGCCUCUUGAUAUAACCAUAAGAGGUCAAGCCUGCCCAGUGACAAAGUUUAACGGCCGCGGUACCCUGACCGUGCUAAGGUAGCGCAAUCACUUGUCUCUUAAAUAGAGACUAGUAUGAAUGGCAUCACGAAGACUAUACUGUCUCCCUCUCACCACCAGUGAAACUGAUCUCCCCAUGAAAAAGUGGGAAUACCCCUAUAAGACGAGAAGACCCCAUGGAGCUUUAAACUAGUAUUAUCUACUUAACCUCAAACCCUAAUAGCAUAACUAAUUAUAAUUACUAGUUUUCGGUUGGGGCGACCACGGAGUAAAGUAAAACCUCCGCGAUGUACAGACCUUACAUCUUUAUUUAAGAAAUACACCUCCAAAAAUCAAUAUAUUGACAUAAUUGAAACAACCAUGAUCAACGAACCAAGUUACCCUGGGGAUAACAGCGCAAUCCAUUUCAAGAGUCCUUAUCAACAAUUGGGUUUACGACCUCGAUGUUGGAUCAGGGUAUCCAAGUGGUGCAGCCGCUACUAAUGGUUCGUUUGUUCAACGAUUAAAACCCU